GGUGCACGAGUGGCCGUCUGUGCCAUGUCUGCCUUGCAUUUGAUUCCAGCAGUUACCAAGCUAAACUAGAGAAAGAAAUAGCUUUGUUGUGGAUUGCAUUGUCGAGCCAUUUUCGUGUCCUGAUACCGCAUAAACGAUCACCUGAUCGCUGGAUCGAUUGGAGUCCCUGAGCCUGAUGGGAGGAAUUUGAUGGAUCAUUCCUUCAUGGGACUGAGUAUUCUAAGAUCAUUCCCUGUAUGCAAAUAAUCUAGUAUGGGUCCCUGUAAUUGUUCUUACCUAAUACAGGAGGGAGCUUCUCUUGUGAAGGCUGAUAUUGAUCUUUUUAGGUAGUUCCUAGUUAAAAGAACCCAAAGUAAUGAAAAAUAUAUUGCUAGUAAUAAUUUCUCCGAAUACUCACAGACAGCUAAUACAGCUGUUCCUCUUCAAGAUAUGACUACCUGCUGAGAGGCCCCGGAGCUAUUCCGGAGACUAUGCCCUAUCCUGCACAUCAUCACCUGCAGCUGGUUCCAGGCUCCAAGGAUGAAUUGGUGGGAAUGGACUCCCACCCCCCUCCCGCCCCCUUUUAUAAAGCAUGUCCACUAUUAAAAAUUUGAACCUUGA
RNAcentral lists this long non-coding RNA (600 nucleotides) under Mus caroli (Ryukyu mouse). Its description in RNAcentral is "lncRNA (MGP_CAROLIEiJ_G0002410.1)". Lineage: Eukaryota; Metazoa; Chordata; Mammalia; Rodentia; Muridae. The record is from RNAcentral.